Long non-coding RNA from Fundulus heteroclitus (mummichog), 911 nucleotides. RefSeq lists it as uncharacterized. The transcript is spliced from 3 exons. The record is from RefSeq and is a predicted model, not a curated record. NCBI's taxonomy places the organism in Eukaryota, Metazoa, Chordata, Actinopteri, Cyprinodontiformes, Fundulidae.
UUGCUGGAAAUGCCUGAGUGCAAUAUAAAAAGCAUUGGUGCUGCCGCUAACCUUUCACAAGAUGUUUAACGUUUAAAGAUUCGAAGAGAAAUGUGGACGUUUCAGAAUGUGAGAUUUUAGCGACAGCCGUGACAGAAGUUUAGGUUACAACGCGAAGCCAAAGUGAUAUGAGUGCCCUCCUGAAACAACAAGUCCUUUAUUAAGGUCUCAGCGUGGCUUGGUCCCUGGAGGGUUGGACCUCGGGAUUCCACUGUUGUUUAUAAGCCUUGGUGUUCGUGUGAAUGUGGGUGCAUAUGUCAAAGACAGAGAUGUACAGCUGCCCCGUUGUCCACUUCCACACAAACUCAUCUCAGCUGUUGAAAAUCAUCACCCGGUGUCAUCGGAAAGACGCUCUGGCACACAGGCGCGCUCUUACAAAAGGACCACAUAUGGACAGACCACCAGGAUCUCCCACUCCCGAAGGCAAAUAUAAAGAAAAAUGAUUGAGAGGAUCAUAUUUGCAUUCCGCAUUAAAAGAAGCAUUGGUUCUGAUGGAUUCUGUUUGGCUAAAAGACAGACAUGAAGUUGAAGAUUGUCGGUUUGAAAGGUUUUCUGUUUUUGCAGAGCCAAAAUCAUUCACGCUUUACUUCUGUUCCCACACAUUUUCUCAUUUUACAACUGCAAACUGUAGUUUAUUGAGAUUUUAUCUGAUAGACAAAUACAAAGUAUGAAUGAAAAGGUGUUUUUCAAUUUUUUUACCAAUACAAAUCUGAAUAGUGUGCCAUGCCUUUGUAUUCAGCCCCUUCUGAGUCAAUUAGUUAAACAUCUUUUGCUGAAAUUAUGACCAAUCUUUUGUGAUAUGUCUUCUCCAGCUUUUCACAUCUAGAAGAUGAAAUGUUUCUUCUGCUUUGCAAAAAUACAAUAGUUCCAGC